This 348-nucleotide ribosomal RNA is filed under the name Nanos minutus. RNAcentral's name for it is "partial 16S ribosomal RNA". The stretch from base 1 to 160 matches the Rfam family "Archaeal large subunit ribosomal RNA", at positions 1949 to 2143 of the family's 2987-position model. The record is from RNAcentral. Lineage: Eukaryota; Metazoa; Arthropoda; Insecta; Coleoptera; Scarabaeidae.
ACCUGCCCUAUGAUUAAUUAAAUGGCCGCGGUAUUUUAACCGUGCAAAGGUAGCAUAAUCAUUAGUUUUUUAAUUGAGAACUAGAAUGAAAGGUUGGACGAAAAGGGGGCUGUCUCAAUUUAAUUUAAUUAGAAUUUUAUUUUUAAGUUAAAAAGCUUAAAUAAUUUUAAAAGACGAGAAGACCCUAUAGAGUUUUAUAUUAUUUUAUAUAAAUUUAAUUUUUAGUAAUUAAUUUUUAUUUUUAUAAAAUAUUAUUUAAUUGGGGUGAUUGAAAAAUUUAAUAAACUUUUUUUAUAUUUUUACAUUAAUUAAUGAUUAAGUGAUCCAUAUUUUAUGAUUAAAAGAUUA